GCUUACUUUGUUAGGAUGAUCCAGGAAGGCUUCUCUGAGGAGGUGAUAUCUGAACAGAGAUCAAAGCAUUAGAGGCCAGGCAGGCAAAGCAUUGGAUGGAAUGGGCCAGCAAAGGUGGGCCAGUGAGUCUGGAAUGUUGUAAAAAUGCAACAUGACUGUAUUUGCCAGCAAAUGCUGGCAAAAAUGAUGGUAUUAGACGUCCAAAUGGUGAUAUCAGGUGGGUGGUGGAGUUUGGGGAGAGGUUGGCUAGGAAAUACAAAUUUCCAAAUCGUUAUCCUAGAGGUGGAAUUAAAGCCACGGAAGUGGAUGAGAUCCUCUGAGGCUGUUUCCCAUGGUGCAUGGGCUACUGGAGGGAUGCGGAACAAUUUCAGAUGCUACACAGGACCCUCCUGCACUCCUGUGGUUGGACUACUUCUGCCAUCCCAGUGGUUACACUCUAUUGGGCAAAGAAUUGAGACAAGGAUCCCAGAAAUCACGGACUACAAGCUGUUGUACCAUUUUGCUACUGUAAUAGAAGGAAACCACCAGAGCCCGGGCUCAACCUAGAGUCACGGAGGAAACGGGGUAAGAGCCAGGCACAUCUGCGCCUCGCGGAGCGGCAAGCCCUACUGUCUGCAGCAUCCCUUCCGGCGCUUACGUGCUCCAGGCACACCUGGAGGGAGCCGGCACUGCCACGGCGGCUGGAGCCGGGAGACCAGUCCCG
This 703-nucleotide long non-coding RNA is filed under the name Equus asinus (donkey). RNAcentral describes it as "lncRNA (ENSEASG00005032448.1)". The record is from RNAcentral. Lineage: Eukaryota; Metazoa; Chordata; Mammalia; Perissodactyla; Equidae.